UUAUUUAGCAAAUAAAUAAACAACUUGUACUGCCAUGUAGCGAUUUCGAUAGACGACGCCUUCAAGGGAGGAGGAGUCUACAACAUAUUGAAUUUAUCGAUCGAUUGUUAGGCCGAUUUCGAUCAGCAUUGUAUAGUUAAUGAAUGACAACUUGACGAGAUCUUGACACGCACGUUGGAAGUGUACGCGUGUUUGCACCUCGAUGAGCGUUGCACAAUAACAAAGCUCCGUUGGUGAGCGUAUUGAUUAAUAAAGCUAGGUGAAGUCCUUGAGUGCCUCAAGGACUUUGUUUUGUUUUAGCAGUAUUUUUUCCUUCAACAAUUAAUCUUGCAUCUCCAACCGUGGAAUGAGUUACAUGUGACUCGAGACAAACAAACAGUGCAAUUGCAACAAUAUAAUUAGUCAGCGGUAUGGUCACUAUCAGCAGCUUUACACACAGUGUGCAUCGUGAAUACAUCAAUCCCAGAGAAAACAUUCCAAUGGAAAAUAUUGAGAAUUUCUGCCCUUCUAUCCUGAACUAAACAAUGCUGAGAUGAGUCAUCCGCUCCUUGGACAACGCUGCGAUCGUGGUGAAGAAAUUAUCGGGAG
This 588-nucleotide long non-coding RNA is filed under the name Daphnia magna. RNAcentral describes it as "uncharacterized LOC123475311, transcript variant X2". The record is from RNAcentral. Lineage: Eukaryota; Metazoa; Arthropoda; Branchiopoda; Diplostraca; Daphniidae.